CCUACGGGUGGCAGCAGUAGGGAAUCUUGCACAAUGGGCGAAAGCCUGAUGGAGCAACACCGCGUGAGGGAAGAAGGGUUUCGGAUCGUAAAGCUCUGUUGUUGGAGAAGAACGUGCGUGAGAGUAACUGGUCACGCAGUGACGGUAUCCAACCAGAAAGUCACGGCUAACUACGUGCCAGCAGCCGCGGUAAUACGGAGGUGGCAAGCGUUAUCCGGAAUUAUUGGGCGUAAAGCGCGCGCAGGCGGUUGCUUAGGUCUGCUGUGAAAGCCUUCGGCUUAACCGGAGAAGUGCAUCCGAAACCGGGCGACUUGAGUGCAGGAGAGGACAGUGGAACUCCAGGUGUAGCGGUGAAAUGCGUAGAUAUAUGGAAGAACACCAGUGGCGAAGGCGGCUGUCUGGUCUGCAACUGACGCUGAGGCGCGAAAGCGUGGGUAGCGAACAGGAUUAGAUACCCGGGUAGUC
Molecule: ribosomal RNA, 465 nt
Filed under: uncultured bacterium
Lineage: Bacteria
Description: partial 16S ribosomal RNA
Rfam family: Bacterial small subunit ribosomal RNA
Source: RNAcentral